GCAUCUGUGCAUGCAGCAUAUCAAUAAGCGGAGGAAAAGAAACUAACAAGGAUUCCCUUAGUAACGGCGAGUGAAGCGGGAAGAGCUCAAAUUUGAAAUCUUCAAGGUUUUACCUUGACGAAUUGUAGUUUAAAGAAGUGUUUUCUGUUGAAGUUUUGGUAAAAGUUCUUUGGAAUAGGACAUCAUAGAGGGUGAGAAUCCCGUAUUUGACCAUUAUUUUCAGCUGUGUGAUACACUUUCAAAGAGUCGGAUUGUUUGGGAAUGCAGUCCAAAAUGAGUGGUAAAUUUCAUCUAAAGCUAAAUAUUGGCGAGAGACCGAUAGCGAACAAGUACCGUGAGGGAAAGAUGAAAAGAACUUUGAAAAGAGAGUUAAACAGUACGUGAAAUUGUCAAAAGGGAAGCGUUUGACACCAGUGUUGUUUUCUCGAAAAUCAAUUAAAAAGAGUUAGAUUUUGUUGUGUAUUGACCUUAACAGCUUGCAUUUCAAUUUUCUUGCUUUUUUUAAUGCACUUUUCGUUUAACAAGUCAACAUCAGUUUCUUUUGUUGUAAAAAGGUCAUUGGAAGGUGGCUUUCUUUUCGGAGAAAGUGUUUAUAGCCUUUGACUCCUGCAAUCGGAGAGACUGAGGUCUGCAGCGUAGAUCCUUCGGGAUUAGAUACAUUUGUGCUAAGUUAUAGCUUUUUAUAGACAACUUGUUGACUAUGAUUAGUCUUGUAGCUUACUCGCUUAUGCUAUUUUACCUACGCUUAGGAUGUUGAUGUGAUACUGCGAGCA
This 773-nucleotide ribosomal RNA is filed under the name uncultured Neocallimastigales. RNAcentral describes it as "partial large subunit ribosomal RNA". It matches the Rfam family "Eukaryotic large subunit ribosomal RNA", at positions 24 to 629 of the family's 3401-position model. Lineage: Eukaryota; Fungi; Neocallimastigomycota; Neocallimastigomycetes; Neocallimastigales. The record is from RNAcentral.